Hydra vulgaris (swiftwater hydra) is the source of this 395-nucleotide long non-coding RNA. RefSeq lists it as uncharacterized. Lineage: Eukaryota; Metazoa; Cnidaria; Hydrozoa; Anthoathecata; Hydridae. The record is from RefSeq and is a predicted model, not a curated record.
UUAAAACGUAAAAACUGGUCAAUAAGUAUGAUUGAUAACGCAAGAUUAUGUAGUAAACAUUUUAUUUCAGGCAAAAAAUCAGACAAUCCUAAUAGUCCUGACUAUGUUCCAUCUGUUUUUUUAUACAGACAGCAAUCUUUUUCAAAAAAACAUCAAAGUAUUGAAAGAUUUGAAAGAAGUUGUAAAAGAACAAAAAAAAAUACUGAAGAUAAUUUAUCUCAAACAAGAGCUGAAAAUGAACAGAUGUAAGUUAAUAUGGAUGCAGUAAAAUCAGUCGACCCUUUCAAAUUAAAUCAAGAAUCUCAGACUGAUGAUGUUAAUUUUGUUGCUGAGCUACAUUCUAAAGUCAAAACUUUGAGUAAAAAUAAUGUUGAAUUAAAGAUUACGAUAAACAA